CACGCAGGCGGUCAGGCAAGUUGGUGGUGAAAGCCCUCGGCUCAACCGAGGAAUUGCCCCCAAAACUGCUUGACUUGAGUCCCGGAGAGGGUGACGGGAUUCCCAGUGUAGCGGUGAAAUGCGUAGAUACUGGGAGGAACACCAGUGGCGAAGGCGGUCACCUGGACGGGUACUGACGCUCAUGUGCGAAAGCGUGGGGAGCAAACAGGAUUAGAUACCCUGGUAGUCC
This 229-nucleotide ribosomal RNA is filed under the name uncultured bacterium. RNAcentral's name for it is "partial 16S ribosomal RNA". It matches the Rfam family "Bacterial small subunit ribosomal RNA", at positions 568 to 796 of the family's 1533-position model. The record is from RNAcentral.